GAUGUAAUAUAUAUAAUAAAAGUUAUAUUAAUAUUAGCACGUAAGUCGUUAGAGAGGCGAAGCGGGCUCCCGGGCCGAGACUGGACUUGCAAGCAGUUGACAAAGAGAAAUCGGCGCCUUGAAGUGAUGAGCCCUCGAGAGGAAAACAUGUUAAUUAGUGAUGAGUCGCCCGCGCCGGAGCCGCUCCCGCCGUAGCGAGGAAACUCUGCGGCGUGUUGGACAGGCUACGUAACCAUUGCAUAUUAUUGUCAUUAUUA
Molecule: unclassified non-coding RNA, 257 nt
Filed under: Melitaea cinxia (Glanville fritillary)
Lineage: Eukaryota; Metazoa; Arthropoda; Insecta; Lepidoptera; Nymphalidae
Description: misc RNA ENSMCXG00005019694.1
Source: RNAcentral